This 779-nucleotide long non-coding RNA is filed under the name Lathyrus oleraceus (garden pea). RNAcentral's name for it is "Pisum sativum (pea) long non-coding RNA (PSAT_LNC030143)". Lineage: Eukaryota; Viridiplantae; Streptophyta; Magnoliopsida; Fabales; Fabaceae. The record is from RNAcentral.
UUAGGCGAAGUAUUUCUUGACUGCAUCAGAAUUCACAGGACGAGUGAACUUCUUCAUCCAUUGCUGUAAGUGUCAAAGCACUGCCUGAAGAGGCUCUUUUGAAAACAUAUGGACUUUCAUAGCUUGGAGUUCACUUGCCCCUGGAAUCGGGCACGAAAGACAAGACUUUCUUGAGCACAAGGUCCCUCGGAACACACGAGGCUUGAUCUUCUUGUCGAAUGCUUUCAUCACUCUCUGCUGAUAUGACUGACCAUGACACAUGGCAGUUGAUCUCUUCCUUUCGAUCGAAUUCAGCAUCAGUCAACUUGGGACUUUGAGGGUGCUAUCUUUCUUUUGUUUUUUUUUCCUUUGAUUUUGCUUUUGAUUUUGCUUUCUUUUAAUUUCUUUUGAUUUUGCACCCUCCUCUUUCUUUCUUUUUUUUUCAUUUUUUUUUUAUAAUGCCCCAGUUGGCUGUUCUGCUGAUUCUCGAGAUGCAGCUGAGUGUGAUCUUCUUUUCUCGCUCAAGAAGUCGGGAAAUCUCGUCAGGAAUCCCUUCAACAUCAUCUUUGUCCGCUUCGAAUACAGGGAAUUCAAAAUUGGGAGAUGACGUCCGAUCAUUAUGUUCAAUGGGUUUGAGAAACGACCUGCAUAAAGAUUUUGAUAUGAAAAGCACUUUGAAAAUCAAACAAGACAAUCGUUAUGCAGAUGAAAAGAUUGCUUUUAUUCUUGUUUUUUUAGGGUUUUUUGUGAUCACCAAUUUCAUGCAAAAAGCGAAAAGGGAAAACAAAUGGAAAAACAAA